Molecule: ribosomal RNA, 519 nt
Filed under: uncultured eukaryote
Lineage: Eukaryota
Description: SSU rRNA
Rfam family: Eukaryotic small subunit ribosomal RNA
Source: RNAcentral
AGGGCACCACCAGGAGUGGAGCCUGCGGCUUAAUUUGACUCAGCACGGGGAAACUUACCCGGCCGGGACACUGGAAGGAUUGACAGAUUGAGAGCUCUUUCUUGAUUUAGUGGGUGGUGGUGCAUGGCCGUUCUUAGUUGGUGGAGCGAUUUGUCUGGUUAAUUCCGAUAACGAACGAGACUCUAGCCUAUUAAAUAGGCUCUCGGCUUUUAAACGCCGGGAGGACUUCUUAGAGGGACAGGUGGCGGUUCAGCCGCACGAAAGAGAGCAAUAACAGGUCUGUGAUGCCCUUUGUUGUCCGGGGCCGCACGCGCGCUACACUGAAGAGAUCAGCGUGCUUUACGUUCCUGCUCCGACCGGAGUGGGGAACCCAGUGAACCUUCUUCGUGAUUGGGAUAGAAGAUUGUAAUUAUUCUUCUUGAACGAGGAACUCCCAGUAAAUGCGAGUCAUAAGCUCGCGUUGAUUACGUCCCUGCCCUUUGUACACACCGCCCGUCGCUACUACCGAUUGAACGAUUU